CCUACGGGCGGCUGCAGUGGGGGAUAUUGCACAAUGGGGGGAACCCUGAUGCAGCGACGCCGCGUGGGUGAAGGAGUGCUUCGGCAUGUAAAGCCCUAUCGGCAGGGAAGAAGCAAGACGUUACCUGACUAAGAAGCCCCGGCUAACUACGUGCCAGCAGCCGCGGUAAUACGUAGGGGGCGAGCGUUAUCCGGAUUCACUGGGUGUAAAGGGCGCGUAGACGGCCAUGCAAGCCAGGGGUGAAAGCCCGGGGCCAAACCCCGGGACUGCCCUUGGAACUGUGCGGCUAGAGUGCGGGAGGGGCAGGCGGAAUUCCUGGUGUAGCGGUGAAAUGCGUAGAUAUCAGGAGGAACACCGGCGGCGAAGGCGGCCUGCUGGACUGUGACUGACGUUGAGGCCCGAAGGCGUGGGGAGCAAACAGGAUUAGAUACCCUAGUAGUC
This 441-nucleotide ribosomal RNA is filed under the name uncultured bacterium. RNAcentral's name for it is "partial 16S ribosomal RNA". It matches the Rfam family "Bacterial small subunit ribosomal RNA", at positions 338 to 795 of the family's 1533-position model. The record is from RNAcentral.